UUGGAGGGCAAGUCUGGUGCCAGCAGCCGCGGUAAUUCCAGCUCCAAUAGCGUAUAUUAAAGUUGUUGCAGUUAAAAAGCUCGUAGUUGAAUUUCGGGGUUAGUAGGUUGGUCGUGCCUCAGGUAUGUACUGAUCUCACUGAUUCCUCCUUCCUGAUGAACCGUAAUGCCAUUAAUUUGGUGUUGCGGGGAAACUGGACUGUUACUUUGAAAAAAUUAGAGUGUUUAAAGCAGGCUAACGCUUGAAUACAUUAGCAUGGAAUAAUGAAAUAGGACGUUCGAUCCUAUUUUGUUGGUUUCUAGGGUUGACGUAAUGAUUAAUAGGGAUAGUUGGGGGCAUUAGUAUUCAAUUGUCAGAGGUGAAAUUCUUGGAUUUAUUGAAGACUAACUACUGCGAAAGCAUUUGCCAAGGAUGUUUUCAUUAAUCAAGAACGAAAGUUAGGGGAUCGAAGACGAUCAGAUACCGUCGUAGUCUUAACCAUAAACUAUGCCGACUAGGGAUCGGAUGAUGUUAAUUUUUUAAUGACUCAUUCGGCGCCUUACGGGAAA
Molecule: ribosomal RNA, 548 nt
Filed under: uncultured Glomeromycotina
Lineage: Eukaryota; Fungi; Glomeromycota
Description: SSU rRNA
Rfam family: Eukaryotic small subunit ribosomal RNA
Source: RNAcentral